UCCCUGGCUGUCCAGUGGUUAGGACUCUGAACUUCCAUUGCAGGGGGCCUAGGUUCAAUCCCUGGUCAGGGAA
Transfer RNA from Ovis aries (sheep), 73 nucleotides. It matches the Rfam family "tRNA". From Rfam's summary of the family: Transfer RNA (tRNA) molecules are approximately 80 nucleotides in length. Lineage: Eukaryota; Metazoa; Chordata; Mammalia; Artiodactyla; Bovidae. The record is from Rfam.